Molecule: ribosomal RNA, 440 nt
Filed under: uncultured bacterium
Lineage: Bacteria
Description: partial 16S ribosomal RNA
Rfam family: Bacterial small subunit ribosomal RNA
Source: RNAcentral
CCUACGGGAGGCAGCAGUGAGGAAUAUUGGGCAAUGGAGGCAACUCUGACCCAGCCAUGCCGCGUGAGUGAAGAAGGUUUUCCGAUUGUAAAGCUCUUUCUGAUGUGACGAUGAUGCCGGUAGUAUCUCACGAAUCCCCGGCUAACUUCGUGACAGGAGCCGCGGUACUACGAAGGGGGCAAGCGUUGUUCGGAAUUACUGGGCGUAAAGGGAGUGUAGGGGGUUUAGUAAGAUAGGGGGGAAAUGCCAGGGCUUAAAUUUGGAAUAGCCAUUCAAACUAUCAGGCUAGAAUUACAGAGAGGAUAGUGGAAUACGCAGUGUAGAGGUGAAAUGCGUAGAUAUUGCGUAGAACCCCAGUGGCGAAGGCAACUAACUGGCUGUACAUUGACGCUGAGGCUCGAAAGCAUGGGGAUCGAACAGGAUUAGAUACCCGGGUAGUC